UCCCUCGUAGUAUAGUGGACAGUUCUCUUGCUUGUCACGCAGAAGACCAGGGUUCGAUUCCCUGACGGGGAG
Molecule: transfer RNA, 72 nt
Filed under: Gasterosteus aculeatus (three-spined stickleback)
Lineage: Eukaryota; Metazoa; Chordata; Actinopteri; Perciformes; Gasterosteidae
Rfam family: tRNA
About the family: Transfer RNA (tRNA) molecules are approximately 80 nucleotides in length. Their secondary structure includes four short double-helical elements and three loops (D, anti-codon, and T loops).
Source: Rfam by way of RNAcentral